UACGUAGGGUGCAAGCGUUAAUCGGAAUUACUGGGCGUAAAGCGUGCGCAGGCGGUUGUGCAAGACAGAUGUGAAAUCCCCGGGCUUAACCUGGGAAUUGCAUUUGUGACUGCACGGCUAGAGUGUGUCAGAGGGGGGUAGAAUUCCACGUGUAGCAGUGAAAUGCGUAGAGAUGUGGAGGAAUACCGAUGGCGAAGGCAGCCCCCUGGGAUAACACUGACGCUCAUACACGAAAGCGUGGGGAGCGAUCCGG
Molecule: ribosomal RNA, 253 nt
Filed under: uncultured bacterium
Lineage: Bacteria
Description: partial 16S ribosomal RNA
Rfam family: Bacterial small subunit ribosomal RNA
Source: RNAcentral